This 564-nucleotide ribosomal RNA is filed under the name uncultured crenarchaeote. RNAcentral describes it as "bacterial SSU rRNA". It matches the Rfam family "Archaeal small subunit ribosomal RNA", at positions 908 to 1472 of the family's 1478-position model. Lineage: Archaea; Thermoproteati; Thermoproteota. The record is from RNAcentral.
GGAGUCACGCCAGAAAUCUUACCCGGAGAGACAGCAGAAUGAAGGUCAAGCUGAAGACUUUACCAGACAAGCUGAGAGGUGGUGCAUGGCCGUCGCCAGCUCGUGCCGUGAGAUGUCCUGUUAAGUCAGGUAACGAGCGAGAUCCCUGCCACUAGUUGCCAUCAUUAUUCUCAGGAAUAGUGGGGCGAAUUAGUGGGACUGCCGUUGUUAAAACGGAGGAAGGAAGGGGCUACGGCAGGUCAGUAUGCCCCGAAACUCUGGGGCCACACGCGGGCUGCAAUGGUAGUGACAAUGAGUUCCAAACUCGAAAGAGAGUGGCAAUCUCUAAACGCUACCACAGUUAUGACUGAGGGCUGCAACUCGCCCUCACGAAUAUGGAAUCCCUAGUAACCGCGUGUCAUUACCGCGCGGUGAAUACGUCCCUGCUCCUUGCACACACCGCCCGUCGUUUCAUCGAAGUUUGCUUUUAGCGAGGUGAUGUUUAAUUGGCAUUAUCGAACUUGAGGUAAGCGACGAGGGAAAAGUCGUAACAAGGUGUCCGUAGGGGAACCUGCGGACGGAUCA